Molecule: ribosomal RNA, 497 nt
Filed under: uncultured bacterium
Lineage: Bacteria
Description: partial 16S ribosomal RNA
Rfam family: Bacterial small subunit ribosomal RNA
Source: RNAcentral
GAUGAACGCUGGCGGCGUGCCUAAUACAUGCAAGUCGAACGCAUAGCGAAAGGUGCUUGCACCUUUCAAGUGAGUGGCGAACGGGUGAGUAACACGUGGACAACCUGCCUCAAGGCUGGGGUUAACAUUUGGAAACAGAUGCUAAUACCGAAUAAAACUUAUUGUCGCAUGACACAAAGUUAAAAGGCGCUUCGGCGUCACCUAGAGAUGGAUCCGCGGUGCAUUAGUUAGUUGGUGGGGUAAAGGCCUACCAAGACAAUGAUGCAUAGCCGAGUUGAGAGACUGAUCGGCCACAUUGGGACUGAGACACGGCCCAAACUCCUACGGGAGGCUGCAGUAGGGAAUCUUCCACAAUGGGCGAAAGCCUGAUGGAGCAACGCCGCGUGUGUGAUGAAGGCUUUCGGGUCGUAAAGCACUGUUGUAUGGGAAGAACAGCUAGAAUAGGAAAUGAUUUUAGUUUGACGGUACCAUACCAGAAAGGGACGGCUAAAUACGUG